GGGCUCCUACGGGACGCAGCAGUGGGGAAUAUUGCACAAUGGGGGAAACCCUGAUGCAGCGACGCCGCGUGAGCGAUGAAGUAUUUCGGUAUGUAAAGCUCUAUCAGCAGGGAAGAAAAUGACGGUACCUGACUAAGAAGCCCCGGCUAACUACGUGCCAGCCGCCGCGGCAAUACGUAGGGGGCAAGCGUUAUCCGGAUUUACUGGGUGUAAAGGGAGCGUAGACGGUCCUGCAAGCCAGAUGUGAAAGCCCGGGGCUCAACCCCGGGACUGCAUUUGGAACUGUAAGGCUAGAGUCUCGGCGA
Molecule: ribosomal RNA, 305 nt
Filed under: uncultured bacterium
Lineage: Bacteria
Description: bacterial SSU rRNA
Rfam family: Bacterial small subunit ribosomal RNA
Source: RNAcentral